AAAAAAAAAGAGGGGUAUAAAUAGAACUUAGUAUAUAAUUUAUUUUUGUUUGAUAGGUAUAUUUUAAGAAUGUGAAGUAAAAUAAAAAUAUUUAAAAAAUUUAGUAUAAUUAAAAAUAUAUAUUUUAUAAUAAAAAUUAUUAAAAUAAAGUGUUUUUGAGAUAAAUAAAAUAUCUCUAAAAUAAUUAAUUAAUUAAUUGGGAGUAAAAUGAAAUAAAGUAUAAUUAAUAAAUAAUCAAAAUUUCUUUUGAGAAAAUAAAUAACCAGGUUUAAUGUAAAUAUUUUGGUAAAUAAAUUUAAGGGUAUAAAAGGAAAAAUAUGAAAACCCUAAUCUAAACCCUAUUUCCUCUUCUUCUUCCUCCUGCCUCUUCUUUUAUCCUCUCUCUCUGGCCUCUUUUCUCGAGCAGCUCUGCUCGCUAGACGGAAGUGCUCCGGCCACCCCAGGUCCCGAUGGACCUCACCACGUAGAUCCCCACCCCAGAAACCCCCAAACCCACCCCUUUCCUCCCACUCGAUCCCUCCUUUCUCCCUCUCACCAUCACUCUCGUCUGAUUUGGGCACCUCCAGGUUUUGUUUCAUAUUUGGUUGAGUAAAAAACCCAAUUUGUGUAGGUGUGUCUCGUUUCUUUGUGAAGAAAACCCAAUUUGGGGUUAUCCUCCUUAAGGGCUUCAAGAAUAUGUGGCUCGAUCCUUCUUGCAUCCACUCUGACUGAGAACUACCGCCACUAGUGGAGGAGCUCUGGCGAGCAUUUCAACCAGCCGUAGCCGUUGUUCUUAGAGUUUGAGUUUAUUUAUUUGGAUAUAAAUUAUUUACUAUUCAGUGUAAUUGUUUGAAUUCGAUAAACGUGUGUAAAUUAAUUCUUAAAUUGUAUAUACUUUAUAUUGAAAAAUAUUGUAAACAUAAUAAUUUAAAUUUAUAUUUAUGAUUGUAAUUUCUUUAA
Cannabis sativa is the source of this 939-nucleotide long non-coding RNA. RefSeq lists it as uncharacterized. The transcript is spliced from 2 exons. Lineage: Eukaryota; Viridiplantae; Streptophyta; Magnoliopsida; Rosales; Cannabaceae. The record is from RefSeq and is a predicted model, not a curated record.